AGGACGAACGCUGGCGGCGUGCUUAACACAUGCAAGUCGAGCGACGCUCCUCCUUCGGGAGGAUGACGGAGCGGCGAACGGGUGAGUAACACGUGGGCAACCUGCCCCUAGCUCUGGGAUAACCCCGGGAAAAUCGGGACUAAUACCGGAUAUGAAGUCGGACGGCAUCUUCUGACUUGGAAAGUUUUUCGGCUAGGGAUGGGCCCGCGGCCUAUCAGCUUGUUGGUGGGGUAACGGCCUACCAAGGCGACGACGGGUAGCCGGCCUGAGAGGGCGACCGGCCACACUGGGACUGAGACACGGCCCAGACUCCUACGGGAGGCAGCAGUGGGAAUAUUGCACAAUGGGGGCAACCCUGAUCCAGCGAUGCCGCGUGAGUGAAGAAGGCCUUCGGGUCGUAAAGCUCGUUUAGGUUGGGACGAAGGUUAUAGGGGGAUAAGUCCUUAUAGCUUGACGGUACUAACAGAAUAAGCACGGCAACUCUGCGCCAGCACGCCGC
This 499-nucleotide ribosomal RNA is filed under the name uncultured bacterium. Its description in RNAcentral is "SSU rRNA". It matches the Rfam family "Bacterial small subunit ribosomal RNA", at positions 26 to 518 of the family's 1533-position model. The record is from RNAcentral.